Molecule: ribosomal RNA, 490 nt
Filed under: uncultured bacterium
Lineage: Bacteria
Description: partial 16S ribosomal RNA
Rfam family: Bacterial small subunit ribosomal RNA
Source: RNAcentral
GAUGAACGCUAGCGAUAGGCUUAACACAUGCAAGUCGAGGGGCAGCAUGGUCUUAGCUUGCUAAGACUGAUGGCGACCGGCGCACGGGUGCGUAACGCGUAUGCAACUUGCCUCACAGGGGGGGAUAACCCGUCGAAAGACGGACUAAUACCGCGUACACUUGGGAUAGGGCAUCCUGACCCAAGGAAAUGAAAUUCGCUGUGAGAUAGGCAUGCGUCCCAUUAGCUAGUUGGUGAGGUAACGGCUCACCAAGGCGACGAUGGGUAGGGGAACUGAGAGGGUGACCCCCCACACUGGUACUGAGACACGGACCAGACUCCUACGGGAGGCAGCAGUGAGGAAUAUUGGUCAAUGGGCGAGAGCCUGAACCAGCCAAGUCGCGUGAAGGAUGACUGUCUUAUGGAUUGUAAACUUCUUUUAUACGGGAAUAACAAGAGCCACGUGUGGCUCCCUGCAUGUACCGUAUGAAUAAGCAUCGGCUAACUCCGUG